Molecule: ribosomal RNA, 218 nt
Filed under: Salmonella enterica subsp. enterica serovar Derby
Lineage: Bacteria; Pseudomonadati; Pseudomonadota; Gammaproteobacteria; Enterobacterales; Enterobacteriaceae
Also listed under: 7 other names
Description: partial 23S ribosomal RNA
Rfam family: Bacterial large subunit ribosomal RNA
Source: RNAcentral
UGUUCGGGUUGUCAUGCCAAUGGCACUGCCCGGUAGCUAAAUGCGGAAGAGAUAAGUGCUGAAAGCAUCUAAGCACGAAACUUGCCCCGAGAUGAGUUCUCCCUGAGACUUUAGGUCUCCUGAAGGAACGUUGAAGACGACGACGUUGAUAGGCCGGGUGUGUAAGCGCAGCGAUGCGUUGAGCUAACCGGUACUAAUGAACCGUGAGGCUUAACCUU